RNAcentral lists this long non-coding RNA (658 nucleotides) under Gallus gallus (chicken). The record is from RNAcentral. Lineage: Eukaryota; Metazoa; Chordata; Aves; Galliformes; Phasianidae.
GGUAAAUCUCCACUGUUAUGAAAAAUUAUAACAGUAUGGCUAAAAGAGGAUUUAAAAAUUAUUUUGGAGAAUAAGACUUCAUUUUUUGGAACUUGAAUAUACAAAUCUCAAGUUAUUUUCAACAGAAAUUAUUUUUGUUUUAGUGUCUGCCUCUCUGUUGAGGCUAUUAAUCUGCUAGAAGAAGAAAUUGAUCGAUGUUGCUAUACAAACAAUCUCAGUAUUAAGUUAAGAAGAUGUUUAGUAUCUACCACAAUUAUGACUAUUUGUCAAUCUUUAAUUUUUAACAUUGUUAACACCUUAUAUUCCCACCAUAUUAUAAGAAAAGCUAUCCCUAUUGAAAAGGAGAACGGAAACCUGUUGUGUUGCAAUAAAACCAAACAACGAUACCUUUUCAUAACGCUAGCUGUAAGAGGGACAUCCGUCUUCUGCACCACAUCAUCAAAAUCAGUUACUAGUUUAACAGGAACCCUCCCAAAAGGGCAGGCCUGGUUAGAUUUGUUUAGUGGUCUUAAUGGAUUGUGGAAGUUAACUAUAGCAUCAUGGUCUUGUGAUUUCUCUUCCCCAAGAAGAUGUUUAGCAACAGCAGAAGAAUUUUCAGUAGAAUCAUUCCUUUUUAUAUUUCUCUGAUUUCCAACUAUGCUCUGAAGUCCAGACUCCU